This 330-nucleotide RNase P RNA is filed under the name marine eukaryotic metagenome. RNAcentral describes it as "Bacterial RNase P class A". It matches the Rfam family "Bacterial RNase P class A", at positions 42 to 364 of the family's 367-position model. From Rfam's summary of the family: Ribonuclease P (RNase P) is a ubiquitous endoribonuclease, found in archaea, bacteria and eukarya as well as chloroplasts and mitochondria. Its best characterised activity is the generation of mature 5'-ends of tRNAs by cleaving the 5'-leader elements of precursor-tRNAs. The record is from RNAcentral.
GGAGGAAAGUCCGAGCACUGCAGGACAGGGUGCCUCCUAACGGGAGGAGUCCGCGAGGACAUGGAAAGUGCAACAGAAAAGAAACCGUCACGACAUCAAUGAUGUCGGGAUAAGGGUGAAAAGGCGGUGUAAGAGACCACCAGUUUCCGGAGCAAUGCGGAAAGCUUGUAAACCCCACCUAGUGCAAGAUCGAAUAGAUCUCCAGAUGUUGUCCGCAUCAUAAUGAGAGAUGGGUAGAUUGCGUAAUCCAGACUGUGAAGUCUGGAUCAGAUGAAUGGUCACUAAUUCUGCAUAGCAGAAAAACAGAACUCGGCUUAUAGACCGGCUCAU